Molecule: ribosomal RNA, 493 nt
Filed under: uncultured bacterium
Lineage: Bacteria
Description: bacterial SSU rRNA
Rfam family: Bacterial small subunit ribosomal RNA
Source: RNAcentral
AACGAACGCUGGCGGCGCGCCUAACACAUGCAAGUCGGGCGAGAACCUAGGCUUCGGCCUAGGGGACAGCGGCGAACGGGUGAGUAACACGUGAGUAAUCUGCCCUCGACAUCGGGAUAGCCCGGGGAAACCCGGAUUAAUACCGAAUAGCCCAUCCGCCUUUCGGGGCGGCUGGAAAAGGUAGCUUUGGCCUCCGGUCGAGGAGGAGCUCGCGGCGGAUUAGCUUGUUGGUGAGGUAAUGGCCCACCAAGGCGACGAUCCGUAGCUGGUCUGAGAGGACGAUCAGCCACACUGGGACUGAGACACGGCCCAGACUCCUACGGGAGGCAGCAGUGGGGAAUCUUGCGCAAUGGGCGAAAGCCUGACGCAGCGACGCCGCGUGCGGGAAGAAGGCCUUCGGGUUGUAAACCGCUUUCAGGAGGGACGAAGCCACUCAGGUUAAUAGCCGAGAGGGUGACGGUACCUCCAGAAGAAGCCCCGGCUAACUACGUGC